GGAGAACUUGAUUCCAAAGGGACUGCAUCAUUAGUUUCUGGACCAUUGGGCAUAGGUUCUGAGGAACUAUUGGAUGAGGUAAGAGACAUGCUAGAAAAACUAGACAGAGAUGAGGAAACUGGAACUGAAGGUGAAGAAGCAGAUGGAGAAUCUAAAGAAGAUUCUGAAAAAUACUUGGAACUUGAACUUGAACUUGAAUCAGAAGAGAGAGAGUCCGGC
Molecule: unclassified non-coding RNA, 219 nt
Filed under: Hevea brasiliensis (rubber tree)
Lineage: Eukaryota; Viridiplantae; Streptophyta; Magnoliopsida; Malpighiales; Euphorbiaceae
Source: RNAcentral